Paramuricea clavata is the source of this 174-nucleotide non-coding RNA. NCBI's taxonomy places the organism in Eukaryota, Metazoa, Cnidaria, Anthozoa, Malacalcyonacea, Plexauridae. The record is from the annotation of a GenBank genome assembly.
UUAGCCCCGUUUACACGAGCAAAUUUUAUUUGACAAAUUUGAUUUCAUCAAAAUCAAAUGCAUUUGUCACAAUAAAUUUGUGACAAAUUUAUCAUCUACACGAGUCACGAGCAAAAUAUCUCUGACUUAUGAAAUUUGUCAAAUAAAAUUUGCUCGUGUAAAUGGGGCUUUAUU